AGUGAACGCUGGCGGUAGGCCUAACACAUGCAAGUCGAACGGCAGCACAGUAAGAGCUUGCUCUUACGGGUGGCGAGUGGCGGACGGGUGAGGAAUACAUCGGAAUCUACUUUUUCGUGGGGGAUAACGUAGGGAAACUUACGCUAAUACCGCAUACGACCUACGGGUGAAAGCAGGGGAUCUUCGGACCUUGCGCGAUUGAAUGAGCCGAUGUCGGAUUAGCUAGUUGGCGGGGUAAAGGCCCACCAAGGCGACGAUCCGUAGCUGGUCUGAGAGGAUGAUCAGCCACACUGGAACUGAGACACGGUCCAGACUCCUACGGGAGGCAGCAGUGGGGAAUAUUGGACAAUGGGCGCAAGCCUGAUCCAGCCAUACCGCGUGGGUGAAGAAGGCCUUCGGGUUGUAAAGCCCUUUUGUUGGGAAAGGAAAGCAGCAAGUUAAUACCCCGCUGUUCUGACGGUACCCAAAGAAUAAGCACCGGCUAACUUCGUG
RNAcentral lists this ribosomal RNA (492 nucleotides) under uncultured bacterium. RNAcentral's name for it is "partial 16S ribosomal RNA". It matches the Rfam family "Bacterial small subunit ribosomal RNA", at positions 29 to 507 of the family's 1533-position model. The record is from RNAcentral.